UGAAAUUAAAAUGAAAAAAUUCAGCAAAAAGUUCAACAGAACGUAGUCGCGAGUUUCGUGCACGUAAAAAACAAUUAUUGAACAAUCAAAAUAGAUGUUCAGAUAUAAGUGUCAAUGUGACUGAUGUAAUAAAUGACCACUCUCAGCAACAAAAUAGUGUUCCAACGGGAUAUAAUUUAGUAAAUAAUGAUUAUAACCCUCCAGUAGAUGUACAGCCAGAAAUUCCAUACUCACGGUUUCGUCGAAAUAAGUUUGCUCAUAAAGAAUUUAACGACAAGUUUUUAAACAAUAUGUUUGGUCAUAAGUGCUCCGUUUGUGAUCGAUUGUGGUUUAAGUUAGAUUUAAAAUCACCACGUGCUGAAGAUGAACAAUUAUUAAGGGUAAUAGUUGAAAAUUACAAUACAGUUGAAGAUAUUUUACUGUGCAACACGUGUUACCAAGCAAUUGGGAGGAAAGUGAUUCCUAUAAUGUCUACUUAUAACGGUUUUAAAUAUGAAAAAUACCUGAGGUUUUACCACCGCUUGACUUAAUUUCGGAAAGACUUGUCUCACCACGAGUUCCAUUUAUGCAAAUUCGACGGUUACGACAUGUUCAUGGGCAAUAUGGAAUUUAUGGACAAAUCAUUAAUGUACCAGUCGAGGUAAACAAUAUGGUAAAACUCUUACCCCGUAAUGUCGAUGAUGAUUACUGUAUUAACGUACACAUUAAAAGAAAAAUAAUACAUAGAUCAAGCUAUUUAAUGGGACUAGUUAAUAAAAGGACAAUUCGUGCAUGGCUUCAGUAUUUGCUUCAAACUCCACUUUAUUUAUUUUACGAUAUUAAAAUUGAUGAAAGCUUCUUCAACAAUAAUAGUAAUAAUGAAAUCGAUCUAGAAGAAAUGAGUGAAGAUAUACCGGUCGAAGAGAGUCUAACAGCACAACAGAAAACUCUACUUUGGAAUGAAGAUAUGUAUUUACGGAUCGCUCCUGGAGAAUAUAAUAUUCCCAAAAGUAUAAUUUUUGAUGAACAUGCCGAAGAACUUUCUUUCCCAUCGAUUUAUUUGGGUCAUUUCCGAAAAUUCAGAGAGGGAGUAAAUGC
Long non-coding RNA from Cotesia glomerata, 1077 nucleotides. RefSeq lists it as uncharacterized. The record is from RefSeq and is a predicted model, not a curated record. The transcript has 3 exons. NCBI's taxonomy places the organism in Eukaryota, Metazoa, Arthropoda, Insecta, Hymenoptera, Braconidae.